ACUACAAAUAAUGAAUGACAAUGGGACUUAAUACUGAAAUCUGAUGCUAUGCUGUGAUAUUUAUACAGCUGAUAUUCUGUGU
Molecule: small nucleolar RNA, 82 nt
Organism: Oryctolagus cuniculus (rabbit)
Lineage: Eukaryota; Metazoa; Chordata; Mammalia; Lagomorpha; Leporidae
Gene: SNORD82
Rfam family: Small nucleolar RNA SNORD82
About the family: snoRNA U82 or Z25 is found in both humans and mice.
Source: Ensembl